GGGGGGAGCGCCAGAUCCUGGGCCGUGUCCCCCAGCACCCUGGGCUCCGGGCCUGCGCUACUGGGAUCGUGCUCUGGCCGCGCAGCCCCCU
This 91-nucleotide microRNA precursor is filed under the name Canis lupus dingo (dingo). RNAcentral describes it as "mir-8799 microRNA precursor family". It matches the Rfam family "mir-8799 microRNA precursor family". Lineage: Eukaryota; Metazoa; Chordata; Mammalia; Carnivora; Canidae. The record is from Rfam by way of RNAcentral.